GGGGAGGGCUACAUGCAGUCGAACGAAGCACUGAAAGCAGAUUACUCCGGUUUGAAGCUUUCUUUGACUGAGUGGCGGACGGGUGAGUAACGCGUGGGUAACCUGCCUCAUACAGGGGGAUAACAGUUAGAAAUGACUGCUAAUACCGCAUAAGCGCACGGUUUCGCAUGGAACAGUGUGAAAAACUCCGGUGGUAUGGGAUGGACCCGCGUCUGAUUAGCUGGUUGGCGGGGUAACGGCCCACCAAGGCGACGAUCAGUAGCCGGCCUGAGAGGGUGAACGGCCACAUUGGGACUGAGACACGGCCCAAACUCCUACGGGAGGCAGCAGUGGGGAAUAUUGCACAAUGGGGGAAACCCUGAUGCAGCGACGCCGCGUGAAGGAAGAAGUAUUUCGGUAUGUAAACUUCUAUCAGCAGGGAAGAAAAUGACGGUACCUGACUAAGAAGCCCCGGCUAACUACGUGCCAGCAGCCGCGGUAAUACGUAGGGGGCAAGCGUUAUCCGGAUUUACUGGGUGUAAAGGGAGCGUAGGCGGUGCAGCAAGUCAGAAGUGAAAGCCCGGGGCUCAACUCCGGGACUGCUUUUGAAACUGUUGAACUAGAUUGCAGGAGAGGUAAGUGGAAUUCCUAGGGUAGCGGUGAAAUGCGUAGAUAUUAGGAGGAACACCAGUGGCGAAGGCGGCUUACUGGACUGUAAAUGACGCUGAGGCUCGAAAGCGUGGGGAGCAAACAGGAUUAGAUACCCUGGUA
RNAcentral lists this ribosomal RNA (750 nucleotides) under uncultured bacterium. Its description in RNAcentral is "bacterial SSU rRNA". It matches the Rfam family "Bacterial small subunit ribosomal RNA", at positions 39 to 792 of the family's 1533-position model. The record is from RNAcentral.